Molecule: long non-coding RNA, 165 nt
Filed under: Chinchilla lanigera (long-tailed chinchilla)
Lineage: Eukaryota; Metazoa; Chordata; Mammalia; Rodentia; Chinchillidae
Description: Non-coding RNA LOC285194 (ENSCLAG00000018719.1)
Rfam family: Non-coding RNA LOC285194
About the family: Deletion of this gene is associated with poor survival of osteosarcoma patients. It may act as a growth suppressor in osteoblasts.
Source: RNAcentral
CCAAGCUAAGAGACACAAAGGGAAAAGUGUGACUGCUCUGACAGCAAAAACAAGCAAAUAUCUCCAGAGGGGAUUAAUCCCUCUGCUUCAAAGUAACCAAAACAAAGAAAGCUGAGCUAGCUUCAGAGGAAACAACACCUGUCCAUCAGACAAGGAUGCGCUAAU